Molecule: long non-coding RNA, 479 nt
Organism: Juglans microcarpa x Juglans regia
Lineage: Eukaryota; Viridiplantae; Streptophyta; Magnoliopsida; Fagales; Juglandaceae
Exons: 3
Source: RefSeq, a predicted model, not a curated record
GCCUGAGUCAUUGGGUAUUGUUGUUGGAAUUGUUUUCUUGGUCUUGGCCAUCUUAUUUCAGUAUUCUAACUUCACAUCCGAUUCCAAAUGGCUUGUUGAGUACAAUGCAGCAUUGGCAUCCAUCUGCUUCAUGACAUUACUUGGAUUUGUCAAUAAUGUCCUUGAUGUCCCUUGGAGAGUGUGAGUAUCCAGUAAUCUAUAGCUUCUGCUCUGUAAUUGAUGGAUAUACAAGCUAUAUAUGGGGCUUUUGGCGAUUUUAUGCACAAACUCUAUAAAUAUCCAUGCUGGUCUGAAUGGAUUUGAAGUUGGGCAAACAGUUGUAAUUGCAUCUGCUAAGCAUAAAGUUUGCAAACCAAUUGGGUUAUAACUUUGUUACAGAAUAUGACUCAUUUUAGCAAUUUGCAGAUUUUGACACACAAAAUCAUGCAAAUUGGAGCAUCUACAAAUCCUGAAUAUAAGCAGGCCCAAAUUGGGGUUUG